CCAAUAACUACCACUGAGCGACUUUUACUGUUAUAGUUUGUUUGUUAAUCCUUUACUUUUGUACUAGAGGUGUCUUGUGGUCUGGGAGCCCAAGAGAGGAUUUCGGGUACAACUUUAAAGUGUCAGCUACAAAGAAUGAAGUAGUUUUACAACUGAAACCUGAAACUUUGAUCAGCACAUUGCAGGCGUUGAAGAGCUCAGGAUAUUUUCAAAAACUUGCUGAUGAAUUUGCGCUUAAAGCUGCGGAACAAUUUAUUAAACAACUGAAAAAGGAGAAAAAUACUGCUACACGAGAACGAUUGGAUGAAUCACCCAAAGUCCCACAACAUCAACCUUCAAAGACACUUCAAUCAGAACAAAACACAAAAAAACUUCGUAAAGCGUCAGGGUCGCACCGAUUAGUUUUGGCCGAUAAAGUACCUAUAGAUGAUGGUAAAAAGGAAAUGAAAACCAAAUCUAAACUAAAAACCAGCGACAGAGCUUCUUCUGAAGAAAGAAGAAGUGAACAGGUUCUGAUGAGUCUAAUGGAUACACCUCCUCCUGACGGAGACAACUUGGAAAAUGAGUCGGUCCUAACGGAAGUAGAGGAAAAGAAGACGGAAAAACCUUUGGGGCUCUAUAAAAUUAAUGGCAAACAUUUUAGAAGAUACGACUUCUUCUGGAAAUAAAUCUACUA
RNAcentral lists this unclassified non-coding RNA (676 nucleotides) under Leguminivora glycinivorella. RNAcentral describes it as "uncharacterized LOC125226369, transcript variant X4". Lineage: Eukaryota; Metazoa; Arthropoda; Insecta; Lepidoptera; Tortricidae. The record is from RNAcentral.